UCGGGGGUCGUCUAAGGGCAGGACUACGGGUUUUGGUCCCGUCAAUCGAGGUUCGAAUCCUCGCCCCCGAA
Molecule: transfer RNA, 71 nt
Filed under: Fidelibacterota bacterium
Lineage: Bacteria; Pseudomonadati; Fidelibacterota
Also listed under: 1 other name
Description: tRNA-Gln
Rfam family: tRNA
About the family: Transfer RNA (tRNA) molecules are approximately 80 nucleotides in length. Their secondary structure includes four short double-helical elements and three loops (D, anti-codon, and T loops).
Source: RNAcentral